GACGAACGCUGGCGGCGUGCUUAACACAUGCAAGUCGAGCGGAAAGGCCCUGCUUUUGUGGGGUGCUCGAGUGGCGAACAGGGGAGUAUCACGUGAGUAACCUGCCCUUGACUUUGGGAUAACUUCAGGGAACUGGAGCUAAUACCGGAUAUGAUCUCCUGCUGCAUGGGGGUGAUUGGAAAGAGUCGCCGGUGUGGGAUGGACUCGCGGCUUAUCAGCUUGUUGGUGGGGUGGUGGCUUACCAGGGCUUUGACGGGUAGCCGGCCUGAGAGGGUGACCGGCCACAUUGGGACUGAGAUACGGCCCAGACUGCUACGGGAGGCAGCAGUGGGGAAUAUUGCACAAUGGGCGGAAGCAGGAUGCAGCAACGCCGCGUGCGGGAUGACGGCCUUCGGGUUGUAACCCGCGUGCGCCUGUGACGAAGCGUGAGUGACGGUAAUGGGUAAAGAAGCACCGGCUAACUACGUG
This 468-nucleotide ribosomal RNA is filed under the name uncultured bacterium. Its description in RNAcentral is "partial 16S ribosomal RNA". It matches the Rfam family "Bacterial small subunit ribosomal RNA", at positions 28 to 507 of the family's 1533-position model. The record is from RNAcentral.